GGCGCUGUAGGUUAGUUGGUCAACACGCCUGUCUAGUAAACAGGAGAUCCUGGGUUCAAAUCCUAGCAGUGCCU
Poecilia formosa (Amazon molly) is the source of this 74-nucleotide non-coding RNA. NCBI's taxonomy places the organism in Eukaryota, Metazoa, Chordata, Actinopteri, Cyprinodontiformes, Poeciliidae. The record is from Rfam.